RNAcentral lists this long non-coding RNA (856 nucleotides) under Cyanistes caeruleus (blue tit). RNAcentral describes it as "lncRNA (ENSCCEG00000016378.1)". Lineage: Eukaryota; Metazoa; Chordata; Aves; Passeriformes; Paridae. The record is from RNAcentral.
CUCCCCGGCACCUCACCUCUCCCCGGCACCGCACUUCUCCCCGGCACUUCACCUCUCCCCGGCACCGCACUUCUCCCUGGCACCGCACUUCUCCCCGGCUCCGCACUUCUCCCCGGCUCCGCACUUCUCCCCGGCACAGGGGCACGGCUGCUGGGGGCACCCACACCACCCACACCCCGCCGGCAGAGCUGCUGAGCCGUCUUCACCCUCCUUCUCUUAGCUCCCCACCGCGGCAAUCAGAAAUUAACGGGUUAACCUUUACAGAAGAGUGCGGAAAGGUGUAAGAGCACAUGUAAUCGUAACAACACUGGCCCGCCGAAGAGCCAGUUGUCAGAGGAGUGCUCAAAUAACUGCAGCCGUAUUUGUUCUAACCCAGAGCCAAUGAGUGUGUGUGCUAGAGCAGGCACAAAGUAUUGCAUGUUGGCUGUAUGCACAAAAGAACUGAUGAAAAAGUUUUGAAACUGGGCAUAGGAACACCAUAUGAGAAACGAACCCAAUAAUGUAUUUAAGAGAGUAUGUAGACAAGGUUUCUUCCCAAGAAAUAUGAAAACAACAAAAUAAACUCAAGGGAUACAAUAUUCAGUACCUCUCAAAGCACAUCAGAAAGCAGAAUCCAUCACUCACAAGUACCUCACCCUCAGGAUGCUGCUCACAAUCUCCCACUUCGAACUGCCACACUUCAAGAGUCUCUGACUGCCGUGGGGACCCGACUGACCACUUGGCUAAUUGAGAUCAUCUACAUGAUGCUAAGAGACUGGAGAAGAGUUGACUCAGCAAGCACACAGCAAAGGGCCUUGACCACUUGCCUUAAAAUGGGAGUGUCUUGGAGGCAAGACAAGAACUCUGCCGAACAGUG